AACAUCUCGGAUAUAUGUAAUACUCUGCUUCAUGUCGGUAUUUAUAUGAGCUAAAAUGAGUCAAGUCAGUAUUUAUAUGAGUUGAGAUGAAUCAGGUCGGUAUAUAUAUAAACAGAUGAUGAUACUUCAUCAGAAGUCAAUUCAGGUAGCUAAGGUCGGUAUUUAGAUAAGCUGAGUUGAGUCAGGUCAGCAUUCAGCCUCCAAUUCAGAUCAAUAUUCAGCCUCCAAUUCAGGUCGGUUUUAUAUGAACUCAAUUUUCAAUUUAGAUCGACUUUCUUAUGAACUCAACUUCCAAUUCAGAUCGACUUUCUUAUGAACUCAGCCUCCAAU
RNAcentral lists this long non-coding RNA (330 nucleotides) under Elaeis guineensis (African oil palm). RNAcentral's name for it is "long non-coding RNA (EGUI_LNC003298)". Lineage: Eukaryota; Viridiplantae; Streptophyta; Magnoliopsida; Arecales; Arecaceae. The record is from RNAcentral.